RNAcentral lists this ribosomal RNA (484 nucleotides) under uncultured bacterium. RNAcentral's name for it is "partial 16S ribosomal RNA". It matches the Rfam family "Bacterial small subunit ribosomal RNA", at positions 30 to 507 of the family's 1533-position model. The record is from RNAcentral.
AUUGAACGCUGGCGGAAUGCUUUACACAUGCCAGUCGAACGGCAGCACGGGGGCAGCCCUGGUGGCGAGUGGCGAACGGGUGAGUAAUACAUCGGAACGUGCCCGGUCGUGGGGGAUAACGUAGCGAAAGUUACGCUAAUACCGCAUACGAUCUGAGGAUGAAAGCGGGGGACCUUCGGGCCUCGCGCGAUCGGAGCGGCCGAUGUCAGAUUAGGUAGUUGGUGGGGUAAAGGCCUACCAAGCCGACGAUCUGUAGCUGGUCCGAGAGGACGACCAGCCACACUGGGACUGAGACACGGCCCAGACUCCUACGGGAGGCAGCAGUGGGGAAUUUUGGACAAUGGGCGCAAGCCUGAUCCAGCCAUUCCGCGUGCAGGACGAAGGCCUUCGGGUUGUAAACUGCUUUUGUACGGAACGAAAAGGCUCUGGCUAAUACCUGGGGCUCAUGACGGUACCGUAAGAAUAAGCACCGGCUAACUACGUG